RNAcentral lists this ribosomal RNA (234 nucleotides) under uncultured bacterium. Its description in RNAcentral is "partial 16S ribosomal RNA". It matches the Rfam family "Bacterial small subunit ribosomal RNA", at positions 96 to 339 of the family's 1533-position model. The record is from RNAcentral.
UGGCGGACGGGUGAGUAAAGCUUGGGAAUUUGCCUUUGCGAGGGGGAUAACUACUGGAAACGGUAGCUAAUACCGCAUAAUACUUAAGGGUCAAAGGUUGCUUCGGCAAUUGCGCAAAGAGAAGCCCAAGUAAGAUUAGCUAGUUGGUGAGGUAAGGGCUCACCAAGGCGACGAUCUUUAGCUGUUCUGAGAGGAAGGACAGCCACACUGGGACUGAGACACGGCCCAGACUCU